CGAGGACUGAGCGUGUAACAAUAAUUCACUUAUUGAGAUCCGAGGACUGAGCGUGUAACAAUAAAUCACCUAUUGAGCUCCGAUGACUGACCGUGUAACAAUAAUUCACUUAUUGAGCUCCGACGACUGAGCGUGUAACGAUAAAUCACUUAUUGAGAUCCGACGACUGAGCGUGUAACGAUAAAUCACUUAUUGAGAUCCGAGGACUGAGCGUGUAACGAUAAAUCACUGAUUGAGAUCCGAGGACUGAGCGUGUAACGAUAAAUCACUUAUUGAGAUCCGACGACUGAGCGUGUAACGAUAAAUCACUUAUUGAGAUCCGACGACUGAGCAUCUAACAAUU
Pelobates cultripes (western spadefoot toad) is the source of this 343-nucleotide non-coding RNA. Lineage: Eukaryota; Metazoa; Chordata; Amphibia; Anura; Pelobatidae. The record is from the annotation of a GenBank genome assembly.